AGACCACAAAGACAAACUUUGGAAGGAGGGCACCAACAAGUUUCGUUCAGCAGCAGAGCAUCCAAUCCUUUGCAGAGCUCCUCUUCCCCACUGGCCGGUUAUAAGAGCUCAGGCUGUCAUAAUGAAGGACCACAGACUGGGAAGCUGGAACAAGAGAAAUUAAUGGUAUCCCAGUUCUGGAGGCCGGAAGACCAAGAUCAAGUAACAGAGAAAACUCGCUUCGCCACCCUGGAAUUAAUGAGAACCCAAGAGAAGCUGACAUGCAACCAUAUGAGCCACCCUGCUGGCAAAUGUCUGUUCCCCAAAUCUCAUGGAUCAAACUCUCUGCUUAACAUCUGGCCUGAGGGCAGAAUCCA
Long non-coding RNA from Mirounga angustirostris (Northern elephant seal), 356 nucleotides. RefSeq lists it as uncharacterized. The record is from RefSeq and is a predicted model, not a curated record. NCBI's taxonomy places the organism in Eukaryota, Metazoa, Chordata, Mammalia, Carnivora, Phocidae. The transcript is spliced from 3 exons.